GGCACGAACCGGAUUAGAUAUCCCGGGUAGUCCCAGCCGUAAACGAUGCUCGCUAGGUGUCUGGAAUGGUGCGACCGUUUCAGGUGCCGCAGGGAAGCCGUGAAGCGAGCCACCUGGGAAGUACGGCCGCAAGGCUGAAACUUAAAGGAAUUGGCGGGGGAGCACUACAACGGGUGGAGCCUGCGGUUUAAUUGGACUCAACGCCGGACAACUCACCGGGGGCGACAGCAAUAUGUAGGUCAAGCUAGAGACUUUACCUGGAUCGCUGAGAGGAGGUGCAUGGCCGUCGUCAGUUCGUACUGUGAAGCAUCCUGUUAAGUCAGGCAACGAGCGAGACCCGUGCCCACUGUUGCCAGCAUAUCCUUCGGGAUGAUGGGUACUCUGUGGGGACCGCCGAUGCUAAAUCGGAGGAAGGUGCGGGCUACGGUAGGUCAGUAUGCCCCGAAUCUCCCGGGCGACACGCGGGCUACAAUGGUUGGGACAAUGGGCUCCUACACUGAAAAGUGACGGUAAUCUCAUAAACCCAGCCGUAGUUCGAAUUGAGGGCUGAAACCCGCCCUCAUGAAGCUGGAAUCCGUAGUAAUCGCGUUUCAAUAUAGCGC
Molecule: ribosomal RNA, 602 nt
Filed under: uncultured Methanohalophilus sp.
Lineage: Archaea; Methanobacteriati; Methanobacteriota; Methanomicrobia; Methanosarcinales; Methanosarcinaceae
Description: bacterial SSU rRNA
Rfam family: Archaeal small subunit ribosomal RNA
Source: RNAcentral